Molecule: non-coding RNA, 100 nt
Filed under: uncultured Phascolarctobacterium sp.
Lineage: Bacteria; Bacillati; Bacillota; Negativicutes; Acidaminococcales; Acidaminococcaceae
Description: SAM riboswitch (S box leader)
Rfam family: SAM riboswitch aptamer (S box leader)
About the family: The SAM riboswitch is found upstream of a number of genes which code for proteins involved in methionine or cysteine biosynthesis in Gram-positive bacteria. The SAM riboswitch acts at the level of transcription termination control.
Source: RNAcentral
UCUUAUCAAGAGUGGUCGAGGGAACAGGCCCGAUGACGCCCGGCAACCAGACCUUAGGUUAUGGUGCUACAUCCUGCAAGAAUAAUCUUGAAAGAUGAGA